RNAcentral lists this ribosomal RNA (681 nucleotides) under uncultured bacterium SY6-88. Its description in RNAcentral is "bacterial SSU rRNA". It matches the Rfam family "Bacterial small subunit ribosomal RNA", at positions 94 to 798 of the family's 1533-position model. The record is from RNAcentral.
AGCGGCGGACGGGUGAGUAACGCGUGGGAACAUACCCUUUGGUACGGAAUAGCCUCGGGAAACUGGGAGUAAUACCGUAUGUGCUCUUUCACUGUAGUGGUGGGGGAGGAAAGAUUUAUCGCCAAAGGAUUGGCCCGCGUUGGAUUAGGUAGUUGGUGGGGUAAUGGCCUACCAAGCCGACGAUCCAUAGCUGGUUUGAGAGGAUGAUCAGCCACACUGGGACUGAGACACGGCCCAGACUCCUACGGGAGGCAGCAGUGGGGAAUCUUAGACAAUGGGCGCAAGCCUGAUCUAGCCAUGCCGCGUGAUCGAUGAAGGCCUUAGGGUUGUAAAGAUCUUUCAGUGGGGAAGAUAAUGACUGUACCCACAGAAGAAGCCCCGGCUAACUCCGUGCCAGCAGCCGCGGUAAUACGGAGGGGGCUAGCGUUGUUCGGAAUUACUGGGCGUAAAGCGCACGUAGGCGGACCGGAAAGUCAGAGGUGAAAUCCCAGAGCUCAACUUUGGAACUGCCUUUGAAACUCCUGGUCUUGAGGUCNAGAGAGUGAAUGGAAUUCCCAGUGUANAAAUGAAAUUCUANAUAUUCGGAGGAACACCANANGCGAAGGCGGNUCACUGGCUCGAUCUUGACCCUUAGGUGCNAAACCNUGGGGAGCAAACAGGAAUANAUCCCUGGUANUCCAC